GAACGAACGCUGGCGGCGUGGAUAAGACAUGCAAGUCGAACGGGAUAACAUCUGUAGCAAUACAGGUGUUAUUUAGUGGCGAACGGGUGCGUAACACGUGGGGAAUCUGCCGAGAAGUGGGGGAUAGCUCGCCGAAAGGCGAAUUAAUACCGCAUAUGAUCAGCUCAGACAUCUGAGCGACAUCAAAGCCGGGGUAACCUGGCGCUUCUUGAUGACCCCGCGGCCUAUCAGCUAGUUGGUGAGGUAACGGCUCACCAAGGCUAUGACGGGUAGCUGGUCUGAGAGGACGACCAGUCACACUGGAACUGAGACACGGUCCAGACACCUACGGGUGGCAGCAGUCGAG
RNAcentral lists this ribosomal RNA (346 nucleotides) under uncultured bacterium. Its description in RNAcentral is "bacterial SSU rRNA". It matches the Rfam family "Bacterial small subunit ribosomal RNA", at positions 27 to 359 of the family's 1533-position model. The record is from RNAcentral.